Molecule: unclassified non-coding RNA, 318 nt
Filed under: Scolecobasidium constrictum
Lineage: Eukaryota; Fungi; Ascomycota; Dothideomycetes; Venturiales; Sympoventuriaceae
Also listed under: 1 other name
Description: Ochroconis constricta partial internal transcribed spacer region
Rfam family: Eukaryotic small subunit ribosomal RNA (bases 1-46)
Source: RNAcentral
AAGUCGUAACAAGGUUUCCGUAGGUGAACCUGCGGAAGGAUCAUUACCGAGUGGCGCGAAAUUCCUGUCGUGAGACGGGGAAGCUACCCGACCUUUUGUCAUUUUGUCGAGUCUGGCUGGCGGGAUUGCAUUCGUGAGAAGCGAAUGUGGAUUUCGGCAGACGGACCAAAACCUCGGCGGAAGAGGUAGGCGUUGACCUGCCCGCCGCCGGCCGUAGAAGACAAUACACAUUCUUGAGAGCAAACUGAAGUCUAAGACGAUACUUGAAAAAGAAAUAGUAAAAAAGCAAAACUUUCAACAACGGAUCUCUUGGCUCUG